RNAcentral lists this ribosomal RNA (301 nucleotides) under uncultured bacterium. RNAcentral's name for it is "partial 16S ribosomal RNA". It matches the Rfam family "Bacterial small subunit ribosomal RNA", at positions 509 to 807 of the family's 1533-position model. The record is from RNAcentral.
CAGCAGCCACGGUAAUACGGAGGGUGCGAGCGUUAAUCGGAAUUACUGGGCGUAAAGAGUGCGUAGGUGGUUAAUUAAGUUAUCUGUGAAAUUCCUGGGCUUAACCUGGGCAGGUCAGAUAAUACUGGUUAACUCGAGUAUGGGAGAGGGUAGUGGAAUUUCCGGUGUAGCGGUGAAAUGCGUAGAGAUCGGAAGGAACACCAGUGGCGAAGGCGGCUACCUGGCCUAAUACUGACACUGAGGCACGAAAGCGUGGGGAGCAAACAGGAUUAGAUACCCCUGUAGUCCCUGUCUCUUAUAC